Molecule: ribosomal RNA, 243 nt
Filed under: uncultured bacterium
Lineage: Bacteria
Description: partial 16S ribosomal RNA
Rfam family: Bacterial small subunit ribosomal RNA
Source: RNAcentral
GCAAGUCGAACGGUAACAGGAUAGCUUGCUAUUGCUGACGAGUGGCGGAGGGGUGAGUAAUGCUUAUGAAUUUGCCUUUUGUUGGGGGAGAACUAUUGGAAACGAUAGCUAAUACCGCAUAAUACCUACGGGUCAAAGUGGGCGUUUAGCUCACGCCGAAAGAGAAGUCUAAGUGAGAUUAGCUAGUAGGUGAGGUAAAGGCUCACCAAGGCGACGAUCUCUAGCUGUUCUGAGAGGAAGAUC